Salmo salar (Atlantic salmon) is the source of this 73-nucleotide non-coding RNA. The record is from Rfam. NCBI's taxonomy places the organism in Eukaryota, Metazoa, Chordata, Actinopteri, Salmoniformes, Salmonidae.
UCCCGUGUGGCUCAGUUGGUAGAGCAUGGUGUUUGCAACGCCAGGGUUGUGUGUUCGAUUCCCACAGCGGGCC